Molecule: unclassified non-coding RNA, 253 nt
Filed under: uncultured Myxococcales bacterium
Lineage: Bacteria; Pseudomonadati; Myxococcota; Myxococcia; Myxococcales
Description: contains 16S-23S intergenic spacer region
Rfam family: Bacterial small subunit ribosomal RNA
Source: RNAcentral
UACAGAGGGUGCAAGCGUUGUUCGGAAUUACUGGGCGUAAAGCGCGUGUAGGCGGCGUGGUAAGUCGAAUGUGAAAGCCCUUGGCUUAACCAAGGAAGUGCAUUCGAUACUGCUAUGCUUGAGUACCGGAGGGGAUGGCGGAAUUCCUGGUGUAGAGGUGAAAUUCGUAGAUAUCAGGAGGAACACCUGUGGCGAAGGCGGCCAUCUGGACGGUGACUGACGCUGAGACGCGAAAGCGUGGGUAGCAAACAGG